GUCCACGCCCUAAACGAUGUCAACUGGUUGUCGGGGAAGUAAUUCCUUGGUAACGAAGCUAACGCGUGAAGUUGACCGCCUGGGGAGUACGGCCGCAAGGCUAAAACUCAAAGGAAUUGACGGGGACCCGCACAAGCGGUGGAUUAUGUGGAUUAAUUCGAUGCAACGCGAAAAACCUUACCUACCCUUGACAUGUGCGGAAUGGGGUAGAGAUACCUCGGUGCCCGAAAGGGAACCGCAACACAGGUGCUGCAUGGCUGUCGU
This 264-nucleotide ribosomal RNA is filed under the name uncultured bacterium. RNAcentral describes it as "partial 16S ribosomal RNA". It matches the Rfam family "Bacterial small subunit ribosomal RNA", at positions 793 to 1055 of the family's 1533-position model. The record is from RNAcentral.